CCUACGGGUGGCAGCAGUGAGGAAUAUUGGUCAAUGGACGAGAGUCUGAACCAGCCAAGUAGCGUGAAGGUUGACUGCCCUAUGGGUUGUAAACUUCUUUUAUAUGGGAAUAAAAUGUUCCACGUGUGGGAUUUUGUAUGUACCAUAUGAAUAAGGAUCGGCUAACUCCGUGCCAGCAGCCGCGGUAAUACGGAGGAUCCGAGCGUUAUCCGGAUUUAUUGGGUUUAAAGGGAGCGUAGGUGGAUUGUUAAGUCAGUUGUGAAAGUUUGCGGCUCAACCGUAAAAUUGCAGUUGAAACUGGCAGUCUUGAGUACAGUAGAGGUGGGCGGAAUUCGUGGUGUAGCGGUGAAAUGCUUAGAUAUCACGAAGAACUCCGAUUGCGAAGGCAGUUCACUGGACUGCAACUGACACUGAGGCUCGAAAGUGUGGGUAUCAAACAGGAUUAGAUACCCGAGUAGUC
This 460-nucleotide ribosomal RNA is filed under the name uncultured bacterium. Its description in RNAcentral is "partial 16S ribosomal RNA". It matches the Rfam family "Bacterial small subunit ribosomal RNA", at positions 338 to 795 of the family's 1533-position model. The record is from RNAcentral.